This is a non-coding RNA of Podarcis lilfordi (Lilford's wall lizard), 75 nucleotides long. The record is from the annotation of a GenBank genome assembly. Lineage: Eukaryota; Metazoa; Chordata; Lepidosauria; Squamata; Lacertidae.
AGAAGGGCCAUAGGUCAGUGGAAGAGCAUCUUCUUUGCAUGCAGAAGGCCUCAGGUUCAACCCCCAGCCUCUCUA